RNAcentral lists this ribosomal RNA (494 nucleotides) under uncultured bacterium. Its description in RNAcentral is "bacterial SSU rRNA". It matches the Rfam family "Bacterial small subunit ribosomal RNA", at positions 29 to 518 of the family's 1533-position model. The record is from RNAcentral.
AUGAACGCUAGCGACAGGCCUAACACAUGCAAGUCAGGGGCAGCACAAGGAGCAAGUCUGAAGGUGGCGACCGGCGCACGGGUGAGUAACACGUAUGCAACCUGCCUGUAAGCGGGAAUAACCCGUGAAAGACGGACUAAUACCGCAUAAUACUAAAUUACUGCAUGGUAAUUAUUUAAACAUUUAUGGCUUACAGAUGGGCAUGCGCAUGAUUAGCUAGUUGGAGAGGUAACGGCUCCCCAAGGCAACGAUCAUUAGGGGUUCUGAGAGGAAGGUCCCCCACACUGGUACUGAGACACGGACCAGACUCCUACGGGAGGCAGCAGUGAGGAAUAUUGGUCAAUGGACGAGAGUCUGAACCAGCCAAGUCGCGUGCAGGAAGAAUGUUCCCUAUGGAUUGUAAACUGCUUUUGCAGGGGAAUAAAGUGCAUCACGUGUGAUGUUUUGUAUGUACUCUGCGAAUAAGGAUCGGCUAACUCCGUGCCAGCCGCCGC